GACAAAUCAAGAUUCAAUGAUUUUUGAAAACCAUGGAAGCAGAGGUACUGCCCAGCCUUGCCCAAGAUGUAUCGCUGGAGAAUCUGUAUACAAAAGAAUUCUUCUAAAUAGCUGCCUUGGAAAAAUGUAACACUUGCCGAACAGUGCAGUCUAUAACCCUGGGAAGGGAACAGUUGUACUCUGGAGUGGCAGUAGUGAAACCAACGAGAGGGAAGACGGAGGCAUAGGUAUUUGCUUACUUUUCUGUUUUUGCUACAUACAUGUACCAUAUAUGCCCCCAUGUAUCGAGUGUAAAGUAACUUCUAUUUACGAAUGAAUGUAGGAUUUUGAUUGGAUAGAAUUGUACAUUUUGUAUAAAGGUAAGCAGAUGAAACACUCUUGAAGAGAAUUAGG
Rhea pennata is the source of this 393-nucleotide long non-coding RNA. RefSeq lists it as uncharacterized. The transcript is spliced from 3 exons. NCBI's taxonomy places the organism in Eukaryota, Metazoa, Chordata, Aves, Rheiformes, Rheidae. The record is from RefSeq and is a predicted model, not a curated record.